Molecule: ribosomal RNA, 404 nt
Filed under: uncultured bacterium
Lineage: Bacteria
Description: bacterial SSU rRNA
Rfam family: Bacterial small subunit ribosomal RNA
Source: RNAcentral
UGGGGAAUAUUGCACAAUGGGGGGAACCCUGAUGCAGCGACGCCGCGUGAGUGAAGAAGUGUUUCGGCACGUAAAGCUCUGUCAGCAGGGAAGAAGAUGACGGUACCUGACCAAGAAGCCCCGGCUAACUACGUGCCAGCAGCCGCGGUAAUACGUAGGGGGCAAGCGUUAUCCGGAUUUACUGGGUGUAAAGGGAGCGCAGACGGCAGCGCAAGUCCGGGGUGAAAGCCCGCGGCCCAACCGCGGGACUGCCCUGGAAACUGUGCGGCUGGAGUGCCGGAGAGGUAAGCGGAAUUCCUAGUGUAGCGGUGAAAUGCGUAGAUAUUAGGAGGAACACCAGUGGCGAAGGCGGCUUACUGGACGGUAACUGACGUUGAGGCUCGAAAGCGUGGGGAGCAAACAGG